Molecule: transfer RNA, 72 nt
Filed under: Saccoglossus kowalevskii
Lineage: Eukaryota; Metazoa; Hemichordata; Enteropneusta; Harrimaniidae
Description: tRNA-Asp
Rfam family: tRNA
About the family: Transfer RNA (tRNA) molecules are approximately 80 nucleotides in length. Their secondary structure includes four short double-helical elements and three loops (D, anti-codon, and T loops).
Source: RNAcentral
UCCUCGAUAGUAUAGUGGUGAGUAUCUCCGCCUGUCACGCGGAAGACCGGGGUUCAAUUCCCCGUCGGGGAG